This 222-nucleotide unclassified non-coding RNA is filed under the name air metagenome. RNAcentral describes it as "partial contains small subunit ribosomal RNA, internal transcribed spacer 1, and 5.8S ribosomal RNA". The stretch from base 1 to 46 matches the Rfam family "Eukaryotic small subunit ribosomal RNA", at positions 1786 to 1831 of the family's 1831-position model. The record is from RNAcentral.
AAGUCGUAACAAGGUCUCCGUAGGUGAACCUGCGGAGGGAUCAUUACUGAGUGAGGGCUCACGCCCGACCUCCAACCCUUUGUGAACUAAACUUGUUGCUUCGGGGGCGACCCUGCCGGCUUCCGCCGGCGGGCGCCCCCGGAGGCCUUCAAACACUGCAUCUUUGCGUCGGAGUAUCAAUCAAAUUGAACAAAACUUUCAACAACGGAUCUCUUGGUUCUG